UAAGGGCCCUAGCAGCUGAAAAUACACACAAAAAGAUACAAGACCUAUAUAGACAAAGCAUCCGUCGUUUUCUGAAAAUGGGAAUACACAUUUCAGACCCUAAGACCUAAGGGCUAGAGGGAUCAACCAAAAAGAUUAAAGAAUAACCCCCCCACCGCCGUUAGAGCUUCUUUUUCAACAAAACAAUACCCCGUCUCUAACCAAACACCCGCUGAAAUCCGUCUCCUUCAAUCCCCCCUCCCAUCGGCGCUGCUUCUUCUCCACCCCUUUUCACAAAGACAAACGACCUCCACACUUUCAGAGAAUGAGAGCCAUGAACACCGGCAAGACAUCGAAGAACUCGCCGAAUCCGAUCUCGAUCUAGACAGAAACUCUCCGCUGUUGUUUCGCCUCAUCACUCUCUAGAUCUGGCCGGUUUUACCUCAACCUGUGACCCUUUCCAUCUUCGUCUUUUAUAAAACCAGGGUCAAAAGAUGGUUUAUCUCGCUGGCAGGAUUUUGACAUCGUGUUAUUUCAUGACUACACCUAGUUUCAGUGGUUUAUUUUGAUGUUUGUUUAAGGUUCCCGUUGAAACCCGUGGUCAACUAAGAUUCUGGUCAACGAUCUUUCCUGGUUUUGUGCUUUCUGACAUUGAAGUGCUGGUCUGAGGUUCCGCUUAUAGUUCACAACUCUGUUUCAGAAUUCGACAACUUUAUUUGGUAUCUGCCUGGAAAUCCAUGUACGUUAUUUUAAAAGCUUCAACGGAAACAUGAAUCUGUUAAUCUAAAGUUCAUUUCUCGCUUUGAUUUCUAAAUGUUCUGUCUGUGCUCUUGUUAUCAAUUUUUGAUGAUUUUGGAUAAUGUAAAAUUGUUCUGUCGUCUCAUUAUUGGGCAAAGAUUUGCUUGACUUAAUUCAUUUUGUUGAGUUUACAUUUGAUUUUGGGUAUUAGUUGUAUCCAUUUCAGAAGGUGAAUGCACUUCAUCUGUUCGGUCAUUUAUUUUGAACCAAAAUUCGUCGAGAGCAUUUUAGAAUUAAAGGCAAGUUUUGGAUGGUGAGUUAACACAAAUCAAGUUUCCGUAAAUAUUCAUUGUCGUGGCAUAUUAUUGAAUGUAAGAACUAUGUUGCUAAAAAUUCAUUCUAAUCUUGGUUGUAUGCAACUUCAUUCUGUGAUAGUAUUUUCAGAAGUUAAUCAACUGAAUUUGAUGUCAUGUAUUUUUGAUAACACAAUUACCAUUUGCUUCUAUAUCUUUACGCAUUAGUUCAAUAUUCUUAUCCUUACAUUUAAUGUCAACAUAGUUUAGGAAAAUAAUUCAUAUAAACACGCAUAAUAUACUUUAGGCAUGUUCUUAAUAAAUCUAUUAUCAUGAUUAUGUACACGUUCGUAUGACACGAGUACGAUUUAAAACAUGAAUAAUCGUAGAAAGGUUGUUAGGCGCGUUUAAAAUACAAUCGUGAUUGUGUACACGUUAGUGUGACACGAUUACAUUUUUAAAAAAAAUCAACUUCGAGUAUGCGUUCGCGCAACUUCGAUAAAAUUUCUUAGUAAUAAAAUGGUUGCUAAUAGGCCACUAAUUUAAUUUAGUUCGAGGUGCGCCAUCCACAAUUCAAUCAUUCAUGGCCCUCGUAUUAAUUUCAUAACCUAGAUAUAAAAAUGACAAAUGCUCAUAGUUGAUCUAGGUCCGUUUAAUAUAUCAUUGUGAUUAUGGACACGUUCGCAUGACUUGGUUACGGUUUCUAAAAACUGUGACGACCUGGUCAGUCGUCUCAUGAGUUACCACUUCAUUUCCCCCAUUUCAGCUUCUUUAUACUUCGUUAUCCGUGUUUUAUGUGAUCGAGUUGAUUAGUUCGAGUUCGGAGAGGAUUUGGUAAGAAAUGAGACACUCAGUUUCUUUUAAGAAGGCUUAAGUUGGAAAAGUCAAUUGGGUGUUGACUUAUGUGUUAGAAGACUCGGAAGUAAGUUCCGAUGGUUCGGCUAGCUUCGGGAGGUGAUUUGUGACUUAGGAGCGCGAUGGGAAUGGGGUUUGGAGUUGUAGAGAAGAAUUAGGCUUGAAUUGGCGAAGUUAGUAUUUUAGUGAAUUCCGGUUGGUAGGUGAGAUUUUGAUACGGGGGUCGGAAUGGAAUUCCGAGAGUUGUAGUAGNNNNNNNNNNNNNNNNNNNNNNNNNCUUCGUUAGGUGAUUUUGGAUGUGUGUGCAAAAUUUCAGAUCAUUCGGAGGUGUUUUGGUCGGGUUUUUGAUCAAAUGCGUAUUUCGGAAGUUUUUAAGAAAUUUAGGCUUGAAUCCGAUGUAAUUUGAUGGUUUUGGUGUUGUUUGUGGUGAUUUGAUGAUUGUAACAAGUUUUAUUGAUAUUUUAGGAUGGGUUGGCACUUUUGGUUGAGGUCCCGGGGGCCUCGGGGUGAUUUCAGAUGGUCAAUCGGACCAAUCUUGGUUUUUUGAAGUUGCAGAUUUCAGCUGAGUGUUGCAGAACAUUUUUGUUCUCUGCGAUCCAGGAGUGCAAUUGCGAUCGCAUAGAAGGUUUAGGGGACGGCCGUUCUGAUUGCUCAAUGCGAUCGCGGAAUAGGGUAUGUGAUCGCAUAGGUUGAGGAGGUUGUUCAUUGCGAUCGCAUGAGGAGUGAUGCGAUCGAGUAGUGUUAAAUGGACCUGAGGUUCUGAGGGAUACUUUGCUCAAUGCGAUCGCGAAGUAGUGUAUGUGAUUGCGUAGGUUUGAUUGGUGAAGAAGUGCGAUCGCAGUUAAGAGGUCGUGUUCGCAUAGGACAUUUUGGAGGCCUAGGAAAGUUGAGCUAUGCGAUCGCAGAGGCUUGGAUGCGAUCGCAUAGAGUAAAAUCUGGGCUGACGGAAGGGUUUUAAUAAACAUUUCACCCGCGAACCAAGACCCAUUUCCUCCAUUGUUGAGUAACCUUGGGAGCUUUUGACGAGUAUUAAAGAGGGUUUUGACUGGGAAUCGAUUGGAGGUGAGUCCUAUGGCCUAGAAACGUCAUUUAAUUGUAGAUUCAACAUCUAAAUUCAUGGAAAUUUGAUUAAAAAGGGAAGGAUUAGGGCUUGACUUUUGAAAUAGAAAUUUGGGGGUUUGAGGGAGCAUUUGAGCUCGGAUUUAGGUAAAUUUGAUAUAUAUAGACUCGUGGCGAGAUAAGAAAUCCGGUGAUGUCAAUUUUCUGAUUUUUCGAGAAGUGGGCCCAUGGCUCGGGUUUUGCCAACUUCGUGAUUUUCGAUAUUUUUCGAGUCUUUUCGAUUGGGUUGUAUUCCCUUAGCCUAUUGUAACAUUUUACUUGUGUUUUUUAUCAGAUUUGAUGCUCGAGGAGGUUGAUUUGCGAGGCAAGGGAGUAGCGAGCUAGGAUUUCGGCCUGCUUGAGGUGAGUAAUGGUUGUAAAUGAUGUCCUGAGGGUUUGAAACCCUGGAUUGCACAUCAUAGUGCUAUAUUGAGGCAAGAUACGCACUGGAUGAUAAGCGUGGGGUCUUUCACUACUGAGGAUUGUGACUUGGUCCAUCCCAAUUGAUGAUUUUACCGAAUAUUUGACUGAAAUUCAUUUGUUAUCAUCAUGAUUUGGGCUGAUUGCCAUAUUUGGGCUUCGUGCCAACUAUUUGAACCCUUCGGGGAUUUUUAUCACUGUUUCCUCACUGCUUGACUUAUUAUUUGAACUCAGUCCUGUUGAUAUCUACUGUUUUACAAACUCAUCCACUUUUACUUAGAUUUGAAACUUAAAUGAUAUUUCUACAUCAUGUUUUGGGCAGAGAACUACUGCUUUACUAAUGCCCAAGGGGCUUGUGAUGAUUUUUGGACUGAGUGAGGCCGAGGGCCAUAUGUGAGGAUAUGCUGAGUGAUAUGAGGCCGAGGGCCUGCGAUACUUUAGAUGCCACGAGAAGGCUUGAGUGAUGUGAGGCCGAGUGUCGAGUGUUGAUGCCAUGAGGUGGCUUGAUAUAGUGAUUGGGCCGUAAGGGGCCCCUGGGGAGUCUGCACAACCACAGUGAGAGGGUGUACCCAUUAUGCUGAGUGAUUGAUACUAUGACUGAGGGGAUGAUAUGAGUGAUUGUGAGGUAGCCCGAGGGGCUGAUACUAUUCUCAGAGUGAGCCCGAGGGGCUGAUACUAUGUUGAGCGAUUGAUACUGUACCCGAGGGGCAGAUUUUUACUUGUUAUUUACCGGUUAAUUUACCGGUUUUACUUGUUUUGAGAAAGAAUAUCAUUUGAUUUCUUCACUGAUUUACUGCUUUNNNNNNNNNNNNNNNNNNNNNNNNNCCUGAGCGCUAAUCUGUCCAAGCUAGGCGGUGAUUUGGAGUUCUGAGGUAGCUGUUGACGUCCGCAGCCCCUUGUCUCCCUUAUCCUAUAUCAUCUAUGUUUUCUUCAGACUAUUGUAUCGGAUUCCGUACUUUGUAGACCUAUAGCAGAUUUUAUAGUAGCUCAUGACUUGUGACACCCCGGUUUGGGCUGUGUUAGGAUGGUUCCUACUGUUGUUAACGUUAAAAUUCCGCAAUUUAUGAGUAUUAUAUUAUAUGUUCUUACUAUUUAUAAUGAUUAACUGUUUAAAAGAGGUGUUUCGUUUUGGUCUAGGUGGCCUUGUCUUCACGUGAGGCUCCAUCGUGACCGGGUUCGGGGAUUGGGUCGUGACAAAAACAAAUCUGGAGUAUGCGUUCGCGCAACUUCGGCCAAACUUUUCUUAAUAACAAUAAAGCAUUAUUAAUUGUGGACACAUUCAUGUGACAUAAUUUUUGACGCGCCAAAUAAAUGGGUACACGUACGCGUGACCCGUUUCAAGAUAAUUUCUUAAUUAAAAAAGGCAAAAGCACACAGGUUCUAAAAGUGAGUAAUUAAACAAUUUAACAAGCCAAGUAUGAUCAAAGCGACCGUGCUAAAACCACAGAACUCAGGAAUGCCUAACACCUUCUUCCGGGUUAACAGAAUUCCUUACCCAAAUUUCUAUGUUCACAGACCGUAAUAAAAGUCAAUUUCCUCAAUUCGGGAUUUCAAACUGGUGACUUGGGACACCAUAAAUUAUCCCAAGUGGAGACUCUGAUUUUAAUAAAAUAAUCCCACUUCGAUUGUCACUUAAAUUGGAAAAAAAUCCCUUAUACUCCUUUCCGGUGGUAGUAAAAAGGAGGUGUGACAGCUCUGGCAACUCUGCUGGUGAUCGAACCCAGAAUCUCUGGUUUAGGGUUCAAGAAUUCGAGCUUGUUAAUAUGAUUUUUACUUGGCUUUAUUUAUUAUUGAUAUUACUGUAUUUUGUGAACUUAAUGUGCUAAUUGUCGUCUAUUUAUCGCUUUGAUAUUAUUUGAAUUGUAUAUAACUGUCUUCUUAUGCCACCCCUCUGAGUCUUCUAAAAAUGGUGCACACAUUCGCGUGGACCAUUUUUUUUGUAGAAGUUAUACCAAAUAAAACGAGGCUGGGCCAGCAACAAGGCCGGGUAGACAUUAGUGCUCCUGGUACGUUGUCCCCCUCUUCGGCUCGAGUAGUCCGCUCGGAUAAGCCAAGUCAAGAAUACAACCCCAGGUUUAAACUUAGAAUAACAUAACCUCAUGCUGGAUCCCUAGUAGGCACGUUUGUUUGCGUCAUGUGAAUUUGACUUUGGGGACUCAACACAGGGGUUGGGUCCGUCUAGGACAGGUGUACCCAAAAAUAAAAGACCAUCCAGAUGCAUCCUAUCUGCUACAUGAUGCAAUCUUCAAGGGUAAAAGGGUCAUUUGGCGGACCAAUGAUAGUUGAGGACAAAUAAAAAAAAGAGGGUGAAGUGUGAAAAUAAAGCAAGUAGGGCUCAUUUAUGUUUUCUUUCACAUUUGUUAAAAAAAGGAAAAAAACAUGAAAAAUUUCAAAAAUAAAAAGAUUUUGUACUUUUUUAUCAUUUUCCGAAAAUCAAAAAUCAAAAAAGGGAAAAGAAAAUCCAAAAAGAGUCUACAUUUUUCAUCAUUUUUCAAAAAAAAAUAUUUUUCUCUAAAUUAGUUGUUUUUUUAAUUCUAGCCCGUAUCCAAUCUGCCCGAACUACGCAUACCUGAUUCUCGUAUUUUGGGGCGUGAUACGUAGGCAUCCCACAUAGGGUCCGGUCUUCCUAGUGAGUCUUAGGUUCUUGGCUUCGCGGGGUCUUAGCCAAAUCUUGCAUUUUUAGCCACUUUUAGCCACAUAGGUUAAUUUUUAAAAAAAUUGUCACAAUCAUGUCUUGAAUGUGUCCAACAUGAAUGGUUAUUGUCUCACAUAGCCUUCUAGGACUUUAACUUUAUUUGGUCUUAAUUUUCUCAUACAGGUGUGGAUUUACUUAUCGGAGUUUGAGCAUGACAGAGCCUCAGAACCAUCUAGUGAGGAUCACUCAUUCAAGAGUGGAUUAAAACGAG
This 6289-nucleotide long non-coding RNA is filed under the name Nicotiana tabacum (common tobacco). RNAcentral's name for it is "long non-coding RNA (NTAB_LNC012042)". Lineage: Eukaryota; Viridiplantae; Streptophyta; Magnoliopsida; Solanales; Solanaceae. The record is from RNAcentral.